GAUGAACGCUGGCGGCGUGCCUAAUACAUGCAAGUCGAGCGAACAGACGAGGAGCUUGCUCCUCUGACGCUAGCGGCGGACGGGUGAGUAACACGUGGAUAACCUACCUAUAAGACUGGGAUAACUUCGGGAAACCGGAGCUAAUACCGGAUAAUAUAUUGAACCGCAUGGUUCAAUAGUGAAAGACGGUUCUGCUGUCACUUAUAGAUGGAUCCGCGCCGCAUUAGCUAGUUGGUAAGGUAACGGCUUACCAAGGCAACGAUGCGUAGCCGACCUGAGAGGGUGAUCGGCCACACUGGAACUGAGACACGGUCCAGACUCCUACGGGAGGCAGCAGUAGGGAAUCUUCCGCAAUGGGCGAAAGCCUGACGGAGCAACGCCGCGUGAGUGAUGAAGGUCUUCGGAUCGUAAAACUCUGUUAUUAGGGAAGAACAAAUGUGUAAGUAACUAUGCACGUCUUGACGGUACCUAAUCAGAAAGCCACGGCUAACUACGUG
This 497-nucleotide ribosomal RNA is filed under the name uncultured bacterium. Its description in RNAcentral is "partial 16S ribosomal RNA". It matches the Rfam family "Bacterial small subunit ribosomal RNA", at positions 28 to 507 of the family's 1533-position model. The record is from RNAcentral.